This is a long non-coding RNA of Dalotia coriaria, 2290 nucleotides long. RefSeq lists it as uncharacterized. The record is from RefSeq and is a predicted model, not a curated record. NCBI's taxonomy places the organism in Eukaryota, Metazoa, Arthropoda, Insecta, Coleoptera, Staphylinidae. The transcript has 2 exons.
GCAACGGUGUGUUUUGAUUCCACGAAAUAAAGAUUCGAUACCUGCAGGUAAACAAACUUAUCUCUUGCGCGAAAUCGCGUGAUCCCACACGGACACGAUGUGCACUCACUACCACCGACAAGCAAUAUUUAACGCGAAAACGUGCAUCGUAGUGCCAUCUAAACGACUAUCUAGUAAUGGCAGGUUUAAAACACAUUUUAUCAAAUAUGCAACAACUGUGUUGUUGUAUGAAAAUGCCAGUCAUAAACAAUUUAAUAAUGCCUAUCAGAUGAGUUAAGCUGGGUUUGUUCGUUAGCGAUAUUUUCUAAACUAAAAGAGAUAGAGAGGAUCGAAUGGCAUAUCCUUAACCAACGAAAAAUUUUCUAUAAGAUAGGCUAGUUAAAUUAGAAAUAUGAGCAAUUAUGUUCGUUAGCGAUAUCUUAUAAACUACAAGAGAUAGAGAGGAUCAAAUGGCAUAUCCUUCACCUACGAAAAAUUCUAUAUGUGCAUUAAAGUAAAGCAAUCAAUUGAAAAAUGCAAAGAGUAAUAUAUGAUACAACCUAUGUGAUUUAAAAAAAUUGUUAGCGGCAUUUCACUGGUGAAAUUUAUCGAGGAGUAUCCGACGGCUAACGGUACAUCACUCAUGCAGAAGUAACUUUGCGUAUGUUCAAUCCGCGUUUAUCACAUACCGAACAUCUCCUGCACUCCUGCACUUCUGCACUAUCGCACAAGGUAAUUGUGAACAAAACGUAAUAAAGCAAAGAAAAACGGAUUAACUUAAGGAGCCGCGAAGACUUGCGCGUUCAGAUUAGCUGACGGUAAGAAUGAGACUAACACCGUACGCAAACCAACCGCGUGUGCUGACAACGUGGGGAACGCACACCAGUUAGAUGAGAUAAGAAAAACUUGUUUCUUUAUAGACACUGGUAUUGUCCGUGUAGUAGUGUCAAAAUUGAAAACAAUUUUAGUAUGCAUUGAAUAUUUACUAUAUUUAGUUAUUACUUGAUACCAUUUCUAUUGUACCCGAUGAGUAAAUAGUACAAUAGGGUAGACUUAUGAAACUUGCUUCUGAACAUAUAGCAAAUUUAUUUAAUUCACAGGGCAAUCAUGUCUAAUUUUCCAUAUGUUUCUAGGUCGUCGAGGAUAAACUACUAUUUUACGGAAAUAAACGGUAAUUUGUAUAUUUAAUUUAAACGUUAAAGCAAUCAUACAUCAUAUAAAAAAAUAUCUACUGAUUGCAAUACUUAUCGAUAAUCUUUGGCUAAAAUACAAAAUUUAAUUGGAAACCAACAAGUAGUUACUUUAACUGAAAUUGAUACAGGUACAACAAUAUAUCGUUUUGAUUUUUACAAUUGCACAAUGAUCCAUUCAUAAUUAAACUACACUAUCACAUCGUCACCAUUAAAAUAGGAAUAUUUGAUAAUACGUACUUCAUUACAAUUUAAAAAUUAACAAAUAUAUGUAUGCUUUCAACAAAAUUAUACCUGUCUCUCCAAAAUUAAGUACAACUAACAAACAAACAUCAUGGAAAUCAUAAGAAAGCAUCAGUACAAUGGAUUGGAAUGUGUGAAUAUAUAAACUAUCUGUAGAAAAAUAUUUCUCGAUUAAUUAUGAUAAAUAAUUUGCCGAUCUAAUAGCAUCCGUCAAUAUCUUUUCAAUAAAACAAGAAAAUGAUAAAUAUAACAUGAAACAACUUGUAUAGAGGUAAAUGUACACGUAUUUAGAUUUUGUUCAUGCAUUUCAUCACUCCACUUAUACUUAUAGUAGUUGAUUAAUUAGCACGGCAGUCUUGUGGUGAUUACUGCAUUGAUAAUAAUUUACGGGUUUAGUUAAUUGUUAAUAUUUGUUAAUAUAAUAUAAUUUUGUCAUGAAAUCGUAGUAGGCUUGCGCUAAUGUGAAUGCGUUUCGAUUAAUUCUCUUCAUCAGAGCUAAGAAGCAUCGUCUUCUCCGUGUAAUUGGCCGGCGAGAUAGUGGACACUUUGCUCGGAAGUGGCGUCAUGCUGGAUGUGUCUACGCUGUUGUAUGUCGCAGGUACGACGCCGCCAGUGGGACUCAUCGGGUCGUCAGGAUCAAAAGUAGAUAUUCGCUGCCCGCGCGAAUUCUUCCCACCUGAAAUACAAUCAGGAAGAUACUAAAUCAUCUAGAAAUUCCAUCUAGACAUUGUACCUUGUGCGAUAACAUGUUCCAUUGAAAUUUUUAUAUACUUUCACGCAAAUAGUUUGUAUUUUAUAUAAUUAUGACAUUCUUAACUGUAUACUGUUCACAACAAUUGUAAUAAACAUUUAGAAAGCGCAAUAAAAAUCAUAAAAGA